Guyanagaster necrorhizus is the source of this 110-nucleotide non-coding RNA. Lineage: Eukaryota; Fungi; Basidiomycota; Agaricomycetes; Agaricales; Physalacriaceae. The record is from the annotation of a RefSeq genome assembly.
GGUGAGGUGGCCGAGCGGUCUAAGGCGCCAGACUAAGGUUGGGUGUUCUACUCUCUUUCAGUGUACAAAUCUGGUCCGAAAGGGCGUGGGUUCGAAUCCCACCCUCAUCA